Pieris brassicae (large cabbage white) is the source of this 746-nucleotide long non-coding RNA. RefSeq lists it as uncharacterized. Lineage: Eukaryota; Metazoa; Arthropoda; Insecta; Lepidoptera; Pieridae. The record is from RefSeq and is a predicted model, not a curated record. The transcript has 4 exons.
CUAAAGAUAAGCGUCAAGACAAAGCUUUUGAUAAAAUUGAUAAAAUUCAAAAUGGACGGAUUACGACGUUAUAUACACAUACUAAUAUGCCUAGGAUAUUUGACGUUUUGUUUUGCGGCUCCAGAAUUUUCAUCUAAGAAAGUCGGCAGUGUACCAGCACUGAAUAUAAAUACAGACGAACCGCUGUUACUUUUAAAUUUAGAAGACAUUGAAAAUGAUACAUCUCUGAAAAAUGACACUGAGAACUUUACAACGGAAAACUAUGAAAAUACUGAUAUUACCACAAGCGAAACUGAGAUGUACGAAGAUACUACCCCUAGUUUCGAAAACGAGUCCACUGAAUCGACGACAGAAUCACAUUUGUUAUUUCAACCGUUAAAUGAGUAUGUACAAGAGUCCAUCAAUAGCCCAGACCUUUUAGCAUCACUUAUUGGCUGAUGCGCCGUCCUUCACCGCCUCUACAUACAACAUUACAUAUUUCUGUAUCAAGAAAAACUCGGAAAAACUCAGAGACAUCAUCAAGAUUGUACAUAUAAAAUGAGUUAAGCAUUUUUCCAUCGUCAUCAAAGUCCUGGUAUAAUAAACUGGUAGUUUUCUUUGGAUAUUUACUUCGCAGUGUUCCAUCGCUAUUUAUAACCAAAACCGUUUUACGUUUCGUUAUUAGUAAGGGCUCAGUUUUAUUAUGUGCUGAAACGCUGAAAAAAUAUUUAUUUACAGAAAUACAUACAUUAUAUACCAUUACUGAC